This 497-nucleotide ribosomal RNA is filed under the name uncultured bacterium. RNAcentral describes it as "partial 16S ribosomal RNA". It matches the Rfam family "Bacterial small subunit ribosomal RNA", at positions 28 to 507 of the family's 1533-position model. The record is from RNAcentral.
GAUGAACGCUGGCGGCGUGCCUAAUACAUGCAAGUCGAGCGAACGGACGAGAAGCUUGCUUUUCUGAUGUUAGCGGCGGACGGGUGAGUAACACGUGGAUAACCUACCUAUAAGACUGGGAUAACUUCGGGAAACCGGAGCUAAUACCGGAUAAUAUUUUGAACCGCAUGGUUCAAAAGUGAAAGACGGUCUUGCUGUCACUUAUAGCUGGAUCCGCGCUGCAUUAGCUAGUUGGUAAGGUAACGGCUUACCAAGGCAACGAUGCAUAGCCGACCUGAGAGGGUGAUCGGCCACACUGGAACUGAGACACGGUCCAGACUCCUACGGGAGGCAGCAGUAGGGAAUCUUCCGCAAUGGGCGAAAGCCUGACGGAGCAACGCCGCGUGAGUGAUGAAGGUCUUCGGAUCGUAAAACUCUGUUAUUAGGGAAGAACAUAUGUGGAAGUAACUGUGCACAUCUUGACGGUACCUAAUCAGAAAGCCACGGCUAACUACGUG